GGAAUGUGAUCGAAAAGUUAGAAAAAUAGCCGUUACCUCUUCCCAGGAGCUCGCAGCCAGCAAAGGUCCUUCCCUUCCGAGGGGAAGAGAAUUUCAACGCGGGAUUCGGCAGCCUCCUUGCGGCCCGGAAGACCGAAUAAACCUGCAUUUUUGGAAAAUCACCUUGACAACUUAGUGAAAGAUGCAUUAAAGUAGGAAGACACUUGAUUUGGGAGAUCAGUAGAAAGGAAGAAGAAAAUAAACAUUAUAAAUAUCAACUCAUUUGAUCCUCACAACAACCUUGUGAGCUCAGGCAGCCCGAGCUCUAGUCGCCACCACUGCCGCCAUCACAGCAGCAGCAGCAGCAGCAGCAUCCUCAUCCACAUCCGCAUUUUUAGCUGCCACACC
RNAcentral lists this long non-coding RNA (387 nucleotides) under Monodelphis domestica (gray short-tailed opossum). RNAcentral's name for it is "lncRNA (ENSMODG00000046431.1)". The record is from RNAcentral. Lineage: Eukaryota; Metazoa; Chordata; Mammalia; Didelphimorphia; Didelphidae.